UAUUUUUCUUUUACUUUUAUAAGAGAAGAGAAUUAUAGCAGAGGUGGUUUACAGAAAUAAACUUUGAUAUUAACGUACCUUUUGCAUCAUGGUUCUACAAUAUAAUAAGUUUAGUCUUUUUCCCGAAUUAAGAAGAUCUAAGUUAAUGUUCUUUUAGUUUAUAGUUUUAGCGUAGCAUUUCUAAAUUAAAAAAUAAACUUAGGGGUGAAACGCUUUCAAUUCUUAGGAUAUCUGGAUGCUUAAGAAAUGUAUCUAGUACAUAAGACAAUGAGGAAGUGCUGAGAUUUCCUUAAACUUAGAUUUCUUGUAUUUUAGAAAGUAACGGCGUAAAAACCUUAUUUGAAAGUUUUAUUAACAUUAUUUACAUUUUUAACUAAUGGAUUAUUAAGCUAGUAUGAGAAAUAUUAUUUUUACUUAAUAAUGUUGAAAUUAGUAAUAGCGUUUAAAUCUUAAAAAGGAACUCGGCAAAUUGAACCCUCGACUGUUUAUCAAAAACAUAGCCUAAUAGCUUUUAAUUUUAGGUGGGCCCUGCCCUAUGAAAAUCUUAAAUGGCCGCAGUACCCUGACUGUGCUAAGGUAGCGUAAUCAGUUGGCUUUUAAAUGGAGUCGAGAAUGAAUGGGUUUUCGGGGGUUGACUGUCUCUUUUGGAUUUAGUUGAAAUUUCUAAAAAGGUGCAAAAUCCUUUAAUUCGAAAAAAGACGAGAAGACCCUUAGAGUUUUUAUUAUAAAAAGAUUAAUUCUUUAUCGGUUUUUGCUGGGGCGGCAAAGAGACAAUAAACUCUCUUUUUACAGUUUUUAGAAGACGUGAAUCUAAAGAGACAAUAAACUACCUUAGGGAUAACAGCAUAAUUAAAUUUUAGUUUGUGACCUCGAUGUUGGACUAGGAAAAAUUUUUGGUUAGCCGCCAAAAGUUAAGUUCUGUUCGAACUUACUUUCCUACAUGAUCUGAGUUCAGACCGGCGUAAGCCAGGUCAGAUUCUAUCUUUUUUAUUUUAUUUUUAGUACGAAAGGACCAAAAUAAACAAAAAUUUUG
This 1033-nucleotide ribosomal RNA is filed under the name Peronia peronii. Its description in RNAcentral is "16S ribosomal RNA". The stretch from base 693 to 987 matches the Rfam family "Archaeal large subunit ribosomal RNA", at positions 2151 to 2715 of the family's 2987-position model. Lineage: Eukaryota; Metazoa; Mollusca; Gastropoda; Systellommatophora; Onchidiidae. The record is from RNAcentral.